GUUGCAGCAAAUGAUCGCCUGUUGCAAUCCACGCUAUCCAGCGGGGUCAACCGGAUACAGAAUUUUCGCGGCACUCAUGGCCGCCAGUCGUCUGCAUGUGGGCCUGAGAUGGCUUCGGCAUAAAAGUUAGGCUCUGAAUCCCAGCAGAUACUGCAGCAAUGAUUCGGCCUGUAGCACUACAACCAGGUACACUCCGUCACCACUCGCCAGGACGUUUGCAUUUCCUAACUGAAUACCGAGCCCCCAGCAUUUCCACAUCAGGGUGUGUCUCACUGCACACUAGCACUGCUGGAAGGUCCAGCCCCAGCCAGCGCCCCCUCGCCACACAAAUGCGGCGGUCCCUCACUGACGAUAUUGUCUUGUGUCCAUUCGCCAGCCCUAGGCAGCGACCGCUCACCAGGCAAACUAGUGUGCAACCCUCGUCGGCAUCGGACCCUGUUGAGGAAACGGUCCUCUCCCAACUCGUGUGGAUUUGACCCCGGGUCUGCGCCUGACUAAUGGGGAAGACUUACUCCAGAACCUUAUGGGGCUACCGAUGCAUAUCCGGUAGCUAAGUGAUAGACAUUAGGGCACCGUCUGGACGGCGCAGUGAGAUCGCGGAAUGUACGUGCAGUUAGAUCGCGGAAUGUACGAGUUUUCCGCUAGCACCGGUAUUUAGGGCGGUGACUGCGCCUAUUUGUUUAUCUCACAACGAUCGGUAUUCCUACCAGGAAUCUCCUCAAGUCCUGCCGAACGCUAACAAUACUCUUUACAUUACUUGUAACAGUUUAUCGUGCUAAAUAUCUUCGCCACCGGCAAUCCUUCCGGAAUAACAAUUAGCGUUAGCUGUCACCGUCGCCAAUUCUUCAAUAGGUUAUGAGCCCCGACCUCUCGUGGUUCGUCAUUGCGUGCUUUAUUAGCAGUUGCCGCAGCCCGGAACAUGACGGUACAUCAGCUCGAUGUGUCUACUGCGUUUCUGUAAUGUAAUGUAAUGUGAGCUGAA
Molecule: long non-coding RNA, 982 nt
Filed under: Volvox carteri
Lineage: Eukaryota; Viridiplantae; Chlorophyta; Chlorophyceae; Chlamydomonadales; Volvocaceae
Description: long non-coding RNA (VCAR_LNC001875)
Source: RNAcentral